AUACUUACCUGGAUAGGGUCAAUGGUUGAUCAAAAAGAGCCAUGACCUAGACUAGUGACCUCUAUUGCACUAUUGGUGGGGUGCUAGCCUAAGGCCUCCCUAAAUGAGAGAGCCUAUGUCAUAAUUUGUUGCAGAGGGGGCUUGCGUUCGCGCAGCCCUCAC
This 162-nucleotide small nuclear RNA is filed under the name Ipomoea nil (Japanese morning glory). RNAcentral's name for it is "U1 spliceosomal RNA". It matches the Rfam family "U1 spliceosomal RNA". Rfam says of the family: U1 is a small nuclear RNA (snRNA) component of the spliceosome (involved in pre-mRNA splicing). The record is from Rfam by way of RNAcentral. Lineage: Eukaryota; Viridiplantae; Streptophyta; Magnoliopsida; Solanales; Convolvulaceae.